This 252-nucleotide ribosomal RNA is filed under the name uncultured bacterium. RNAcentral describes it as "partial 16S ribosomal RNA". It matches the Rfam family "Bacterial small subunit ribosomal RNA", at positions 524 to 776 of the family's 1533-position model. The record is from RNAcentral.
UACGGAGGAUGCGAGCGUUAUCCGGAUUUAUUGGGUUUAAAGGGUGCGUAGGCGGACGCUUAAGUCAGCGGUAAAAUUGCGGGGCUCAACCUCGUCGAGCCGUUGAAACUGGGUGUCUUGAGUGGGCGAGAAGUACGCGGAAUGCGUGGUGUAGCGGUGAAGUGCAUAGAUAUCACGCAGAACUCCGAUUGCGAGGGCAGCGUACCGGCGCCCAACUGACGCUGAAGCACGAAGGCGUGGGUAUCGAACAGG